Molecule: long non-coding RNA, 201 nt
Filed under: Lotus japonicus
Lineage: Eukaryota; Viridiplantae; Streptophyta; Magnoliopsida; Fabales; Fabaceae
Description: long non-coding RNA (LJAP_LNC000515)
Source: RNAcentral
UAAGUUAGAAGAGAGGGUUUGAGUUCUGGAGCUUGAGAAGCUUUCUCUAAGCCCUAUGUUUCAGGUUUCAUCUUUAUCUUCUUGUAUGGAUUUCAUAGCCAUGUUUGGCUAAACCCCUUUUGCUUUGGGUUCUUUGUAAGACUUAAGAUGUUUUAACCUUAAUUCCUAUUUCUAUUCAUGAAUCUUCUGAGUAAACCCUUG